RNAcentral lists this ribosomal RNA (518 nucleotides) under Verrucaria elaeomelaena. Its description in RNAcentral is "eukaryotic LSU rRNA". It matches the Rfam family "Eukaryotic large subunit ribosomal RNA", at positions 1 to 516 of the family's 3401-position model. Lineage: Eukaryota; Fungi; Ascomycota; Eurotiomycetes; Verrucariales; Verrucariaceae. The record is from RNAcentral.
UUGACCUCGGAUCAGGUAGGGAUACCCGCUGAACUUAAGCAUAUCAAUAAGCGGAGGAAAAGAAACCAACAGGGAUUGCCUCAGUAACGGCGAGUGAAGCGGCAACAGCUCAAAUUUGAAAUCUGGCCUUUCUGGGGUCCRAGUUGUAAUUUGUARAGGAUGCUUCGGGCAAGGCUGUGGUCUAAUUCGCUUGGAACAGCGGGUCAAAGAGGGUGAGAAUCCCGUCUAGGAUCGUGUGCCGCGUCCAUGUGAAGCUCCUUCGACGAGUCGAGUUGUUUGGGAAUGCAGCUCUAAAUGGGUGGUAAAUUUCAUCUAAAGCUAAAUAUUGGCCAGAGACCGAUAGCGAACAAGUAGAGUGAUCGAAAGAUGAAAAGCACUUUGAAAAGAGAGUUAAACAGUAUGUGAAAUUGUUGAAAGGGAAGCGCUUGCAAUCAGACUUGUGGCUGACGGUUCCCCCGGCCCUCGUGGCCGGGCUACUCCGUCGUGUCCAGGCCAACAUCGGUCUGGGUGGCCGGUUA